UUGGGAAGGAUGUAGCGGUGUUUUAAAUUUAAGCAUGUAUGUCACUUCUUUCCCUUCUUCCUGUUCUCUGGAAAGGACCUAGUGGCGUUUCAAAAGUCAAAAAUGACAACAUUCUUUACAUCUAAUCGUGAGUCGCAUGCGUUUUUGUUUCCCCGGUCACUCAAUCAUGUCGAAGGAUGAAAGGUCCGAAACGACACGGGUGAUUGGUUGUAUAUGAAGAAUUUUUGACGAGCAUAGUGACUGCGGCUCUUUAUUAUACCCGUGAGUAGUAACAUUUUUGUCUGUAUUUUAUUUAUUAGUUUAGGAUAGGUUUUCUUGCACACCGCGUUUUUAAAUGUUAAUGAUAAUAUAUAUAAUAUAUAUAUGUCGGACAGCGGGAUUUCCCGUCUUGAAUGCUGGGAAAAACCCCAAUACCAUAGUCAAGACUUUUAUGAUAGCUGCGUUUAAGCAAUAAAAAAUAAGAAAUAAUUUUUAAUGUUCCAACUUGGCUUUAUGUCAAUGGGUUCAGGUUCAAGGAGACAUAGCGGGUCACUAGACGUAGCCACGGUCACGGGAGGGACGUAUACCUGACAGAGGUAUGGAAUGAUUAUAUGACUCUCCUUAAGAACAAGGAUUGACCCGAGAAGUGGGGACAGGAAUAUAUAAGAGCAGUUUCAUUGGGAUGAGUUUGUUAGUUAGUCGUUGGACGAAUUGCUGAUUGAGUUAUCCGAAUCGUGUAUUACGUUGGUACUCGUCAUCCCGUAGACCGUGGAUUCGUUAUCGAACCUGAAUUCGUUGCUACCAUCACCUCG
Molecule: long non-coding RNA, 791 nt
Organism: Bombus impatiens (common eastern bumble bee)
Lineage: Eukaryota; Metazoa; Arthropoda; Insecta; Hymenoptera; Apidae
Exons: 3
Source: RefSeq, a predicted model, not a curated record